CUUAACACUAAACCAACAUCCGAUAAAAUUGGAACAAUAUAUAGAAGAUUAGCAUGGCCCCAGUACAAGGAUGACAUGCACAAAUCGAGAAAUGGUCCAAAUUUUU
This is a non-coding RNA of Gossypium hirsutum (cotton), 106 nucleotides long. Lineage: Eukaryota; Viridiplantae; Streptophyta; Magnoliopsida; Malvales; Malvaceae. The record is from Rfam.